Molecule: ribosomal RNA, 492 nt
Filed under: uncultured bacterium
Lineage: Bacteria
Description: partial 16S ribosomal RNA
Rfam family: Bacterial small subunit ribosomal RNA
Source: RNAcentral
AGUGAACGCUGGCGGUAGGCCUAACACAUGCGAGUCGAACGGCAGCACAGUAAGAGCUUGCUCUUACGGGUGGCGAGUGGCGGACGGGUGAGGAAUACAUCGGAAUCUACUUUUUCGUGGGGGAUAACGUAGGGAAACUUACGCUAAUACCGCAUACGACCUACGGGUGAAAGCAGGGGAUCUUCGGACCUUGCGCGAUUGAAUGAGCCGAUGUCGGAUUAGCUAGUUGGCGGGGUAAAGGCCCACCAAGGCGACGAUCCGUAGCUGGUCUGAGAGGAUGAUCAGCCACACUGGAACUGAGACACGGUCCAGACUCCUACGGGAGGCAGCAGUGGGGAAUAUUGGACAAUGAGCGCAAGCCUGAUCCAGCCAUACCGCGUGGGUGAAGAAGGCCUUCGGGUUGUAAAGCCCUUUUGUUGGGAAAGAAAAGCAGCAGGUUAAUACCCCGCUGUUCUGACGGUACCCAAAGAAUAAGCACCGGCUAACUUCGUG